ACGCUGGCGGCGUGCAUAACACAUGCAAGUCGAACGAUGAAACUUAAUUGAUCUCUUCGGAGUGAUUUUAAGUGGAUUAGUGGCGGACGGGUGAGUAACGCGUGAGUAACCUGCCUUAGAGAUGGGGAUAGCCUCUGGAAACGGAGAAUAAUACCCAAUGAUACCAAGUUAUCGCAUGGUAGCCUGGUCAAAGAUUUAUCGCUCUAAGAUGGACUUGCGUCUGAUUAGCUAGUUGGUGAGAUAAUGGCUCACCAAGGCAACGAUCAGUAGCCGGCUUGAGAGAGUGUACGGCCACAUUGGGACUGAGACACGGCCCAGACUCCUACGGGAGGCAGCAGUGGGGAAUUUUGCACAAUGGGGGAAACCCUGAUGCAGCGACGCCGCGUGAUUUAGAAGGCCUUCGGGUUGUAAAAAUCUUUUGUAUAGGAAGAAAAUGACAGUACUAUACGAAUAAGGACCGGCUAAUUACGUGCCAGCCGCCGCGGUAA
RNAcentral lists this ribosomal RNA (488 nucleotides) under uncultured Eubacteriales bacterium. RNAcentral describes it as "bacterial SSU rRNA". It matches the Rfam family "Bacterial small subunit ribosomal RNA", at positions 33 to 523 of the family's 1533-position model. Lineage: Bacteria; Bacillati; Bacillota; Clostridia; Eubacteriales. The record is from RNAcentral.